CGUGUAGGCGGUGCGGUAAGUUGGGCGUGAAAUCCCGAGCUUAACUCGGGUGGGCCGUUCAAGACUGCCGUGCUAGGGUGCGGGAGAGGGCAGUGGAAUUUCCGGUGUAGCGGUGAAAUGCGUAGAUAUCGGGAGGAACACCUGCGGCGAAGGCGGCUGCCUGGACCGUAACCGACGCUGAGGCGCGAAAGCUAGGGGAGCAAACAGGAUUAGAUACCCUGGUAGUCCUAGCCCUAAACGAUGAGCACUGGGUGUGGCCCCUCACGGGGCCGUGCCGAAGCUAACGCAUUAAGUGCUUCGCCUGGGGAGUACGGUCGCAAGGCUGAA
RNAcentral lists this ribosomal RNA (327 nucleotides) under uncultured bacterium. Its description in RNAcentral is "bacterial SSU rRNA". It matches the Rfam family "Bacterial small subunit ribosomal RNA", at positions 568 to 898 of the family's 1533-position model. The record is from RNAcentral.